GAUGAACGCUGGCGGCGUGCCUAAUACAUGCAAGUCGAGCGAACGGACGAGAAGCUUGCUUCUCUGAUGUUAGCGGCGGACGGGUGAGUAACACGUGGAUAACCUACCUAUAAGACUGGGAUAACUUCGGGAAACCGGAGCUAAUACCGGAUAAUAUUUUGAACCGCAUGGUUCAAAAGUGAAAGACGGUCUUGCUGUCACUUAUAGAUGGAUCCGCGCUGCAUUAGCUAGUUGGUAAGGUAACGGCUUACCAAGGCAACGAUGCAUAGCCGACCUGAGAGGGGGAUCGGCCACACUGGAACUGAGACACGGUCCAGACUCCUACGGGAGGCAGCAGUAGGGAAGCUUCCGCACUGGGCGAAAGCCUGACGGAGCAACGCAGCGUGAGUGAAGAAGGGCUUCGGAUCGUAAAACGCUGUUAUUAGGGAAGAACAUAUGUGUAAGUAACUGUGCACAUCUGGACGGUACCUAAACAGAAAGCCACGGCUAACUACGU
Molecule: ribosomal RNA, 496 nt
Filed under: uncultured bacterium
Lineage: Bacteria
Description: partial 16S ribosomal RNA
Rfam family: Bacterial small subunit ribosomal RNA
Source: RNAcentral